This is a long non-coding RNA of Drosophila montana, 1530 nucleotides long. RefSeq lists it as uncharacterized. The record is from RefSeq and is a predicted model, not a curated record. The transcript is spliced from 2 exons. Lineage: Eukaryota; Metazoa; Arthropoda; Insecta; Diptera; Drosophilidae.
AACUGGUGUUGCAAUCAUAAACGAAUGAAAACUAUUUAAUUAAAAGCCAGUUGGCUGUAGGACUCAUAAAGUGCAUUGCAUAAAGGACAUUUGCAUCGCUUUGGGGACAGUAGAGACAAGGCAUAAGGGACACUGGACGUUAAAUUUAACAGCUUUGGUAAUUACAAAACAGUUUGGUUACGGAGGCUCAAUAUAUGCUCGGAGCUUAGUAACACCUACGGAUUGCCUUACAGAUUUUAUUGAGACAUUAUCAGGCAAAACAAAUGGGGGACAAUUUGCAGCUAUGGUGCCGACUUUUAUGGCCGGCAACAUCCACAGAAAGGCGUUACGGAAUGGCCAAAGGGGGCGUGGAGCAUGGACAUAGUUUUGCCCGAAGCUUUUCCAUAUAUAAUAAAUUGCGAUGGCAAUGUAUGUAUGAGCGAUAACCGUGCGUAUACGCAACGUAUUCUCGACAUUUCGUUGUUUCGGGCAAUUCGGUGUGUUUUGUGUGCCAUUUUUAUGGCUCAUAACCGACAACAUCGGCAUGCGAAUGACAGAUAUUUGUUUUGUUGUCUCGAUCCGAGCCCACGGCUAUGGCAAUGACUAGAUAAAACUGCAGGCUAUUAAUACGCCUCGCCUGCCCAAUUAAUUGAGCUGUAGAAUGCAAAUUAAAUAAAAAUCAAAAUACCUAAUAACUUUGCCCCAAUAAACCAUAUCUAUAUUUGCCCUGGUUACCCGGAGACUCAUUGGAUGGCUUGUUGACACGGACGUAGACCAAAAAAAAAAUAAUAAUACAUAAAUAAAUUUGUGCCACAGGCAAACAAUGUAUACCGCUGCUUUAUUGGUGCUAAAAGGCGGAGGAUAAGCGAAGUGUAAGAUUGGCAGCAUAUUUUGUACAAGCACAAACCGAGCCGCAGCCUGAGUGAUGCCCCAAGUGGAUGCUAGGACUAGGACCCAGAGCCAGCCCAGGCGACAAUUUGUGUUUAUUCAAAAUAAAUUUGAAGCACUUAAUAAAAUAUUAGCAGCAAGCUAAAGGAAGGCAACGACGGCAGUCAAGUGACGUCAAGUAAGGAAAACAGCUUUGAACGUGCUGCAAAAGAGCUGAAAAGUCAAAAUUUUCAAGUACCUUGACGCUGUGUGGGCGAAGGAUGUUGAUAUUUGACACAUUGACAGGCAUUUCAGAGGGAUGCAAGCUUGUAGUUGUAUACUGAUUGCCCUUUAAAAUGAAGCAAUUUGUUUAAGAUACUUAAGCUGCGUCUAUUGACACUUUUAAGGCUACAUUAAAUUGAGCACUGUGUUUAAUCACACAAAACAAUUUAAAUUUAGCGCUUUAUUUAGCAGCGGCCUUUCGAUAAACGAUAGCUAUCGAUUCAUGUGACUGUUAGCUAACAUAAACACUGAGAGAAAGCAGUAAGAGCUAAAUGUACAUCAGGUUUCUAUGAUCAUAAAAUUCACUAUGGACAAAACGUAUGCAUACAUAUAUCAAAUGUAUAUACAUACGAAAUGGAAAUAAUGUGCCUCCAUUUUAAUAAAGCUAAUUAAUACUAAACA